CUCUGCAGCUUCCAACACUAAGGGAAAGAACUAUGAGCUGGUUUUACAACAGCGGAACAUUGUCUGGCUGAAGCACUAUGACAGAAAGACUCUGGUUUGGUUGUUGGUCAAGUACAACAGAAGGAGAAGAGGGAGUUACAUCUACAUGGCUGAAUAAAGAAAAAGUACUGAUGAAUACUGGAGUAAGAAUUUCCCUUUUAGCAUUCCCAACCCGUUAAAAGGAAGCAAUUAUGGUAGAGGAACAGAGUGCAUGGAUGACCUGAACCUUGUUCACAACAGAUGAGAAAAAAUGACAUUUUUCUCCUUUCUGAAAGACUUUUAUAGCUUGUGAAAAAGAAACUUCAUGGAAGCAGAAACUAUGAGCUCAUUAAGAAAUGAUAAUCAUUCUGUUCCUCUCACAAAACAUGGAGAAUUGUACAAGAUGGAAGAAUAUUAAGAUUUAUCACAGAGCACUAUACUCUAAUGAGGAAAGCUCACGCUUCAAUUUCCUGAAUUUGACCUCUGAAAAGGCACUGAGCCUCUAGGAAUCAAGGUGUUUUUGGUUUUUUUUCCUUCUGUGUAUAGAGUUCUUCAUUUGUUCAAUGGGGCUAAUAUAACCUCUGUACCUUCUGAGAAUAGAAUCGUUAAAGACUGACUCAGUGUUAUGGUAAUGGAAACCAUUUUGUAAGGAAGACCAAAGGAAUGUCCUCUGAAGACCAGUUACAUCCAGAAUAAGAUGGCCUUCUUUCAAAUAUAGCAAAAGCUUUCCAAAACAGAGCAUAUAAAUAAAAUGAACUAGUUUCUAUUUUCUCUCAUUUUAUUC
Molecule: non-coding RNA, 802 nt
Organism: Coturnix japonica (Japanese quail)
Lineage: Eukaryota; Metazoa; Chordata; Aves; Galliformes; Phasianidae
Source: RefSeq, a predicted model, not a curated record